RNAcentral lists this ribosomal RNA (355 nucleotides) under uncultured bacterium. Its description in RNAcentral is "bacterial SSU rRNA". It matches the Rfam family "Bacterial small subunit ribosomal RNA", at positions 8 to 350 of the family's 1533-position model. The record is from RNAcentral.
AGAGUUUGAUCCUGGCUCAGGAUGAACGCUAGCUACAGGCUUAACACAUGCAAGUCGAGGGGAAACGGGCAUCGAAAGCUUGCUUUUGAUGGGCGUCGACCGGCGCACGGGUGAGUAACGCGUAUCCAACCUGCCCACCACUUGGGGAUAACCUUGCGAAAGUAAGACUAAUACCCAAUGACGUCUCUAGAAGACAUCUGAAGGAGAUUAAAGAUUUAUCGGUGAUGGAUGGGGAUGCGUCUGAUUAGCUUGUUGGCGGGGUAACGGCCACCGAAGGCGACGAUCAGUAGGGGUUCUGAGAGGAAGGUCCCCCACAUUGGAACUGGGGACACGGUCCAAACUCCUACGGGAGGCA